GAUGAACGCUGGCGGCGUGCCUAAUACAUGCAAGUCGAGCGAACAGACGAGGAGCUUGCUCCUCUGACGUUAGCGGCGGACGGGUGAGUAACACGUGGAUAACCUACCUAUAAGACUGGGAUAACUUCGGGAAACCGGAGCUAAUACCGGAUAAUAUAUUGAACCGCAUGGUUCAAUAGUGAAAGGCGGAUUUGCUGUCACUGAUAGAUGGAUCCGCGCCGCAUUAGCUAGUUGGUAAGGUAACGGCUUACCAAGGCAACGAUGCGUAGCCGACCUGAGAGGGUGGUCGGCCACACUGGAACGGAGACACGGUCCAGACUCCUACGGGCGGCAGCAGUAGGGAAUCUUCCGCAAUGGGCGAAAGCCUGACGGAGCAACGCCGCGUGAGUGAUGAAGGUCUUCGUAUCGUAAAACUCUGUUAUUAGGGAAGAACAAAUGUAAGUAACUAUGCACGUCUUGACGGUACCUAAUCAGAAAGCCACGGCUAACUACGUG
RNAcentral lists this ribosomal RNA (495 nucleotides) under uncultured bacterium. RNAcentral's name for it is "partial 16S ribosomal RNA". It matches the Rfam family "Bacterial small subunit ribosomal RNA", at positions 28 to 507 of the family's 1533-position model. The record is from RNAcentral.